RNAcentral lists this small RNA (217 nucleotides) under Angustibacter sp. RNAcentral's name for it is "c-di-AMP sequence". It matches the Rfam family "c-di-AMP riboswitch aptamer (ydaO/yuaA leader)". Rfam says of the family: This family represents a conserved RNA structure found upstream of the ydaO and yuaA genes in Bacillus subtilis and related genes in other bacteria. The ydaO/yuaA element is thought to act as a genetic "off" switch for the ydaO and yuaA genes in its native state. It is believed that the element may be triggered during osmotic shock leading to activation of ydaO, a predicted amino acid transporter gene, and members of the yuaA-yubG operon which code for KtrA and KtrB K+ transporters. Lineage: Bacteria; Bacillati; Actinomycetota; Actinomycetes; Kineosporiales; Kineosporiaceae. The record is from RNAcentral.
UCGACGCGGACGCCGAACUCUGCCACCGCAUCCCGAGGAACCGCACGACACCGUCUGGCAGAGGCGGGGGACCCACGUAGUCCGACCGGCGCGGAAGCCAUCCGUGACGGUCUUGGGGUGAAGCCACCACAGCAGGGCGCGAGCCCAGCACCGGUGGCCGGGUGAACACUCUCCACCCGAACCCGACAGCUCACCUCGAAGGCGUCGGAGAGGCUCU